GGAAAAUUCACUGACAUGACUGCUGAACUUGAAUGGCAUUUCCUCUGAAAAUAUUGUGUUCUAAAGUUAGUUAUGAUCGUUGAAGGUUUUGAUAAUGUUGACGAACUUGCAUGUUUCACAUAAUGAACGCAUUUGGAAUACUGUGUCAACCUGUCUUAUGCUGCAAAUUAUUAACAUAAUUAUGCCUAAUUUGAGCACUUAUGAAGAACAUUUUAGUUUUCUUCUUUCUGAAAUGCUGUUGAAAAAAG
Molecule: unclassified non-coding RNA, 248 nt
Filed under: Hevea brasiliensis (rubber tree)
Lineage: Eukaryota; Viridiplantae; Streptophyta; Magnoliopsida; Malpighiales; Euphorbiaceae
Source: RNAcentral